GACGAACGCUGGCGGCGUGCUUAACACAUGCAAGUCGAACGGUAAGGCUCCAGCUUGCUGGGGUACACGAGUGGCGAACGGGUGAGUAACACGUGGGUGACCUGCCCUGCACUUCGGGAUAAGCCUGGGAAACUGGGUCUAAUACCGGAUAGGACCGCACCGUGAGGGUGUGGUGGAAAGUUUUUUCGGUGUGGGAUGGGCCCGCGGCCUAUCAGCUUGUUGGUUGGGUAAUGGCCUACCAAGGCGGCGACGGGUAGCCGGCCUGAGAGGGUGGACGGCCACAUUGGGACUGAGACACGGCCCAGACUCCUACGGGAGGCAGCAGUGGGGAAUAUUGCACAAUGGGCGGAAGCCUGAUGCAGCGACGCCGCGUGGGGGAUGACGGCCUUCGGGUUGUAAACUCCUUUCACCAUCGACGAAGGGUUUCUGACGGUAGAUGGAGAAGAAGCACCGGCUAACUACGUG
This 465-nucleotide ribosomal RNA is filed under the name uncultured bacterium. RNAcentral describes it as "partial 16S ribosomal RNA". It matches the Rfam family "Bacterial small subunit ribosomal RNA", at positions 28 to 507 of the family's 1533-position model. The record is from RNAcentral.